UACGAAGGGGGCUCGCGUUGCUCGGAAUCACUGGGCUUAAAGGGCGCGUAGGCGGACUGCCAAGUCCGGGGUGAAAUCUUUCGGCUUAACCGGAAAAGGGCCUUGGAAACUGGCGGUCUCGAGGGAGGUAGGGGCCUGUGGAACUUCGGGUGGAGCGGUGAAAUGCGUUGAUAUCCGAAGGAACGCCGGUGGCGAAAGCGACGGGCUGGAUCUCUUCUGACGCUGAGGCGCGAAAGCCAGGGGAGCAAACGGG
This 253-nucleotide ribosomal RNA is filed under the name uncultured bacterium. RNAcentral describes it as "partial 16S ribosomal RNA". It matches the Rfam family "Bacterial small subunit ribosomal RNA", at positions 524 to 776 of the family's 1533-position model. The record is from RNAcentral.